This 2910-nucleotide ribosomal RNA is filed under the name Salmonella enterica subsp. enterica serovar Paratyphi B str. SPB7. RNAcentral's name for it is "bacterial LSU rRNA". It matches the Rfam family "Bacterial large subunit ribosomal RNA". Lineage: Bacteria; Pseudomonadati; Pseudomonadota; Gammaproteobacteria; Enterobacterales; Enterobacteriaceae. The record is from RNAcentral.
GGUUAAGCGACUAAGCGUACACGGUGGAUGCCCUGGCAGUCAGAGGCGAUGAAGGGCGUGCUAAUCUGCGAUAAGCGCCGGUAAGGUGAUAUGAACCGUUAUAACCGGCGAUACCCGAAUGGGGAAACCCAGUGUGAUUCGUCACACUAUCAUUAACUGAAUCCAUAGGUUAAUGAGGCGAACCGGGGGAACUGAAACAUCUAAGUACCCCGAGGAAAAGAAAUCAACCGAGAUUCCCCCAGUAGCGGCGAGCGAACGGGGAGGAGCCCAGAGCCUGAAUCAGCAUGUGUGUUAGUGGAAGCGUCUGGAAAGGCGCGCGAUACAGGGUGACAGCCCCGUACACAAAAGCGCAUGUGCUGUGAGCUCGAUGAGUAGGGCGGGACACGUGGUAUCCUGUCUGAAUAUGGGGGGACCAUCCUCCAAGGCUAAAUACUCCUGACUGACCGAUAGUGAACCAGUACCGUGAGGGAAAGGCGAAAAGAACCCCGGCGAGGGGAGUGAAAAAGAACCUGAAACCGUGUACGUACAAGCAGUGGGAGCACAGGUUUACCUGUGUGACUGCGUACCUUUUGUAUAAUGGGUCAGCGACUUAUAUUCUGUAGCAAGGUUAACCGUAUAGGGGAGCCGGAGGGAAACCGAGUCUUAAUUGGGCGUUAAGUUGCAGGGUAUAGACCCGAAACCCGGUGAUCUAGCCAUGGGCAGGUUGAAGGUUGGGUAACACUAACUGGAGGACCGAACCGACUAAUGUUGAAAAAUUAGCGGAUGACCUGUGGCUGGGGGUGAAAGGCCAAUCAAACCGGGAGAUAGCUGGUUCUCCCCGAAAGCUAUUUAGGUAGCGCCUCGUGAAUUCAUCUCCGGGGGUAGAGCACUGUUUCGGCUAGGGGGCCAUCCCGGCUUACCAACCCGAUGCAAACUGCGAAUACCGGAGAAUGUUAUCACGGGAGACACACGGCGGGUGCUAACGUCCGUCGUGAAGAGGGAAACAACCCAGACCGCCAGCUAAGGUCCCAAAGUCAUGGUUAAGUGGGAAACGAUGUGGGAAGGCCCAGACAGCCAGGAUGUUGGCUUAGAAGCAGCCAUCAUUUAAAGAAAGCGUAAUAGCUCACUGGUCGAGUCGGCCUGCGCGGAAGAUGUAACGGGGCUAAACCAUGCACCGAAGCUGCGGCAGCGACGCUUAUGCGUUGUUGGGUAGGGGAGCGUUCUGUAAGCCUGUGAAGGUGUGUCGUGAGGCAUGCUGGAGGUAUCAGAAGUGCGAAUGCUGACAUAAGUAACGAUAAAGCGGGUGAAAAGCCCGCUCGCCGGAAGACCAAGGGUUCCUGUCCAACGUUAAUCGGGGCAGGGUGAGUCGACCCCUAAGGCGAGGCCGAAAGGCGUAGUCGAUGGGAAACGGGUUAAUAUUCCCGUACUUGGUGUUACUGCGAAGGGGGGACGGAGAAGGCUAUGUUGGCCGGGCGACGGUUGUCCCGGUUUAAGCGUGUAGGUGUGUGUUCCAGGUAAAUCCGGUUCACUUUAACACUGAGGCGUGAUGACGAGGCACUACGGUGCUGAAGCAACAAAUGCCCUGCUUCCAGGAAAAGCCUCUAAGCAUCAGGUAACAUCAAAUCGUACCCCAAACCGACACAGGUGGUCAGGUAGAGAAUACCAAGGCGCUUGAGAGAACUCGGGUGAAGGAACUAGGCAAAAUGGUGCCGUAACUUCGGGAGAAGGCACGCUGACACGUAGGUGAAGUGAUUUACUCACGGAGCUGAAGUCAGUCGAAGAUACCAGCUGGCUGCAACUGUUUAUUAAAAACACAGCACUGUGCAAACACGAAAGUGGACGUAUACGGUGUGACGCCUGCCCGGUGCCGGAAGGUUAAUUGAUGGGGUCAGCGCAAGCGAAGCUCCUGAUCGAAGCCCCGGUAAACGGCGGCCGUAACUAUAACGGUCCUAAGGUAGCGAAAUUCCUUGUCGGGUAAGUUCCGACCUGCACGAAUGGCGUAAUGAUGGCCAGGCUGUCUCCACCCGAGACUCAGUGAAAUUGAACUCGCUGUGAAGAUGCAGUGUACCCGCGGCAAGACGGAAAGACCCCGUGAACCUUUACUAUAGCUUGACACUGAACAUUGAGCCUUGAUGUGUAGGAUAGGUGGGAGGCUUUGAAGUGUGGACGCCAGUCUGCAUGGAGCCGACCUUGAAAUACCACCCUUUAAUGUUUGAUGUUCUAACGUGGACCCGUAAUCCGGGUUGCGGACAGUGUCUGGUGGGUAGUUUGACUGGGGCGGUCUCCUCCUAAAGAGUAACGGAGGAGCACGAAGGUUGGCUAAUCCUGGUCGGACAUCAGGAGGUUAGUGCAAUGGCAUAAGCCAGCUUGACUGCGAGCGUGACGGCGCGAGCAGGUGCGAAAGCAGGUCAUAGUGAUCCGGUGGUUCUGAAUGGAAGGGCCAUCGCUCAACGGAUAAAAGGUACUCCGGGGAUAACAGGCUGAUACCGCCCAAGAGUUCAUAUCGACGGCGGUGUUUGGCACCUCGAUGUCGGCUCAUCACAUCCUGGGGCUGAAGUAGGUCCCAAGGGUAUGGCUGUUCGCCAUUUAAAGUGGUACGCGAGCUGGGUUUAAAACGUCGUGAGACAGUUCGGUCCCUAUCUGCCGUGGGCGCUGGAGAACUGAGGGGGGCUGCUCCUAGUACGAGAGGACCGGAGUGGACGCAUCACUGGUGUUCGGGUUGUCAUGCCAAUGGCACUGCCCGGUAGCUAAAUGCGGAAAAGAUAAGUGCUGAAAGCAUCUAAGCACGAAACUUGCCCCGAGAUGAGUUCUCCCUGAGACUUAGAGUCUCCUGAAGGAACGUUGAAGACGACGACGUUGAUAGGCCGGGUGUGUAAGCGCAGCGAUGCGUUGAGCUAACCGGUACUAAUGAACCGUGAGGCUUAACCUUAC